Non-coding RNA from Nelumbo nucifera (sacred lotus), 1212 nucleotides. The record is from RefSeq and is a predicted model, not a curated record. Lineage: Eukaryota; Viridiplantae; Streptophyta; Magnoliopsida; Proteales; Nelumbonaceae.
GCACAAACAGAGUACUCAAACACACACACAGAGAUUUAUGUGAUUCAGCUUAUAGUUUAUGUCCACAGGCAUCAGAGAAGGAGAAAUCCACUAUAAAACAAUAGCAAGGAUUACAGUUGCAGUUUAGAUAUUUUCUCACAAACCCUAGCUUGAUAUUCCUUGAGCCAUUGAUCUUUUCUCCGGUGGCUUCUGGUUGAAGGUCUGGUGCUUGACAGAAUUUGAAACGUCUGUGGAAGAAGAGUUUGAAGGUUGAAGAUGAUGGCUUAUUGGUGGGAUGGGUGACACGUGGAGAAGGAAGGUUGGGAGAAGUGGAAACUGGAAAGGUUGGAGGGGAAGCGUUUUUGGUAACUGGAAAGUUACUCUUGCAGGUUUCGAUUGUAGAGGAUUCACCAUUUUACUGAACCAGGCCGGGUUGAUGGACCAAGCAAGAGGAGAUCACGUGAGGCUUUAAAUUGCCAGGCGAGUCGAGAACCCGAUUUUUUGAGUAGGCCAUUAGAGGACGAUAAUUUUCGUCCAUUGUCUGCUCCAGCCAUUUUUUUCAGAGAACGUCGAUUUGAAGAGGGAUUUUUUACAGAGUUGCCCGAGGGCUGAUUCUCAAGGGUUCCAUCACACUUGAUCAGAAGCGAUUUGGCUUCACCCCAAGGGUGGACGAUGGGUGAGGAAUAGCACGACUAAGUAGCUGAGGGCGAAAAAGGUACCCGGAGAUUGAGGCAUCUUCAGAAAAGAUUGACUCACAAGCACUCUUAGUGACUAUUGAAAUCGGCAUUUCACAAGGAAGGGCUACUGGCAGAACUAGAUCUGUAUCUCCUGAGAAAGGUUCUCACAGUGUCUUAGACAAGGUAAAGGAGGGAAGUGAAAACACUUCAGAUGUGCAGUUUCGUUAGUUAAAGAGGUGGUGGACCAACAUCCUAAGCUUGGUAGUAAGGGGGACGUGGAAGAUCGUUUGGAGAGAACUGAGGUGGGUGAAAAUGUUUAGGAAAGCGAUAAAAGAAAAAAACUCUGACUUCAAUGUUUUAAAGAGUAGCCUCUGUCCCAAUGAGGAGCAGAAUGCUAGGGCCGAUGCUGGAGUGGAGAAUGAAGAUGAGAUGGGAGGUGAGGAAAUUUCAGGCAAUAGUGAAGUGACUGGAAACCAGGUCGAAUGCUUACACCGAGGAUGUUAAUUCAACACCUAGAAAUAACUCAAAACAACAUCAAUAACGAAAAAAAAAAAAA